AAAACGCCGCUAUUCGGAUAUAACGAUGGAUUAUUUUGGACCAAACCAACAUUUGUUAUUGAAGUAGCAGUCCUGGGAGUGCAUUCUGACGAAGACAACAAAAGGACCAUGCCUCAGGACUACAUGGCCUGAUGACUCCUUGUUGUCCCCAGUCCACCUGGCCGUGCUGCUGCUCCAGUUUCAACUGUUCUGCCUGCGGCUAUGGAACACUGACCUGUUCACCAGACGUGCUACCUGUCCCAGACCUGCUGUUUUCAACUCUCUAGAGACAGCAGGAGCGGUAGAGAUACUCUGAAUGAUCGGCUAUGAAAAGCCAACUGACAUUUACUCCUGAGCUGCUGACCUGUUGUACCCUCGACAACCACUGUGAUUAUUAUUAUUUGACCCUGCUGGUCAUCGAUGAAUAUUUGAACAUCUUGGCCAUUAUAAUCUCCACCCGACACAGCCAGAAGAGGACUGGCCACCCCUCAUAGCCUGGUUCCUCUCUAGGUUUCUUCCUAGGUUCUGGCCUUUCUAGGGAGUUUUUCCUAGCCACCGUGCUUCUACACCUCCAUUACAUACUGUUUGGGGUUUUAGGCUGGGUUUCUGUACAGCACUUUGAGAUAUCAGCUGAUGUAAGAAGGGCUUUAUAAAUAAAUUUGAUUUGAUUUGAUACAUUCAUCACAUAUAGCCAACUUUGUAAAUACAAUUCAGGGAUGGCCACAAUUGCUCUUGGCAAGAUAUAGGUUUUUGCAGGCUUUUUUGUUCAAGACCAGUUCUACCACACCUGAUUCUACUAUUCAUGGUCUCAAUGAACAGUGGAGGUCUUGAUGAACAGCUGAGUAGUAGAAUCAGGUGUGGUAGCACUGGGCUUGAACAGAAAAGCCUCCAUAACACUGUGGAUCGUCAAGAGCAAUUUUGAUAACUCCUGACACAAACACUGCAGCAAAUGACAAACUGCUGAGAAGUACCAUUAAAAUACAAGUGCAAAACUCUUAAGAAACAUUAUAGCCAUAUUUACAAAUCUGAAAUUGGAUAGGUGCUGUAGAUCCUUGAAUAUAAAACUUCAGCAACAAAUGUCCUAAGUAAUGCUGUAUACAGCUGUCCAUCUGUGACAGAUGCAUGAUCACAAUCCGCCACUAUGCCAUAAAGAAAAGUGCUUCUCAUGGAUUAGGGCAACGCCAUCUUUCUUCCUUGGGAGUCUUUGAGCUGGUCUCUCCUCUGUUCUGUCAAGACGUACGCAGUAGUACACACCACCACA
Molecule: long non-coding RNA, 1240 nt
Filed under: Salmo salar (Atlantic salmon)
Lineage: Eukaryota; Metazoa; Chordata; Actinopteri; Salmoniformes; Salmonidae
Description: lncRNA (ENSSSAG00000119776.1)
Source: RNAcentral